Molecule: non-coding RNA, 100 nt
Organism: Gymnopus androsaceus JB14
Lineage: Eukaryota; Fungi; Basidiomycota; Agaricomycetes; Agaricales; Omphalotaceae
Source: the annotation of a GenBank genome assembly
GCUUCCUUAGCUCAGUCGGUAGAGCGCCAGUCUCAUAACUGGCAUGAGGACCGUUUGGUUCGCAAUCUGGAGGUCGCAAGUUCGAGCCUUGCAGGGAGCA